RNAcentral lists this ribosomal RNA (563 nucleotides) under Niallia circulans. RNAcentral's name for it is "bacterial SSU rRNA". It matches the Rfam family "Bacterial small subunit ribosomal RNA", at positions 48 to 596 of the family's 1533-position model. The record is from RNAcentral. Lineage: Bacteria; Bacillati; Bacillota; Bacilli; Caryophanales; Bacillaceae.
CUAAAACAUGCAAGUCGAGCGGACUUUAAAAGCUUGCUUUUAAAGUUAGCGGCGGACGGGUGAGUAACACGUGGGCAACCUGCCUGUAAGACUGGGAUAACUUCGGGAAACCGGAGCUAAUACCGGAUAAUCCUUUUCCUCUCAUGAGGAAAAGCUGAAAGACGGUUUACGCUGUCACUUACAGAUGGGCCCGCGGCGCAUUAGCUAGUUGGUGAGGUAACGGCUCACCAAGGCGACGAUGCGUAGCCGACCUGAGAGGGUGAUCGGCCACACUGGGACUGAGACACGGCCCAGACUCCUACGGGAGGCAGCAGUAGGGAAUCUUCCGCAAUGGACGAAAGUCUGACGGAGCAACGCCGCGUGAGUGAUGAAGGUUUUCGGAUCGUAAAACUCUGUUGUUAGGGAAGAACAAGUACAAGAGUAACUGCUUGUACCUUGACGGUACCUAACCAGAAAGCCACGGCUAACUACGUGCCAGCAGCCGCGGUAAUACGUAGGUGGCAAGCGUUGUCCGGAAUUAUUGGGCGUAAAGCGCGCGCAGGCGGUCCUUUAAGUCUGAUGUG